RNAcentral lists this non-coding RNA (102 nucleotides) under Clostridium tyrobutyricum. Its description in RNAcentral is "TPP sequence". It matches the Rfam family "TPP riboswitch aptamer (THI element)". From Rfam's summary of the family: Vitamin B(1) in its active form thiamin pyrophosphate (TPP) is an essential coenzyme that is synthesised by coupling of pyrimidine and thiazole moieties in bacteria. The previously detected thiamin-regulatory element, thi box was extended, resulting in a new, highly conserved RNA secondary structure, the THI element, which is widely distributed in eubacteria and also occurs in some archaea. Analysis of operon structures identified a large number of new candidate thiamin-regulated genes, mostly transporters, in various prokaryotic organisms. Lineage: Bacteria; Bacillati; Bacillota; Clostridia; Eubacteriales; Clostridiaceae. The record is from RNAcentral. RNAcentral also lists the same sequence under 1 other name.
AUUUGUUACUGGGUGUGCCAUAUGGCUGAGAGGGAUUUAUAUCUCAAACCUUAGAACCUGAUGUAGUUAAUUCUACCGUAGGGAAGGUAAUAUAUAAUUAAA